Macaca fascicularis (crab-eating macaque) is the source of this 2968-nucleotide long non-coding RNA. The record is from Ensembl. Lineage: Eukaryota; Metazoa; Chordata; Mammalia; Primates; Cercopithecidae.
GGCUCAUGCUUGUAAUCCCAGCACUUUGGGAGGCCGAGGCGGGCGGAUCACUUGAGGCCAGGAAUUUGAGACCAGCCUGGCCAAUGUGACAGAACCCCAUCUUUACUAAAAAUACAAAAAUUAGCCGGGCAUGGUGGUGGGCGCCUGUAAUCCCAGCUACUUGGGAGGCUGAGGCAGGAAAAUGGCUUGAACCCCGGGAGGCAGAGGUUGCAGUGAGCCGUGAUUGCGCUACUGCACUCCAGCCUGGGUGACAGAGCAAGAUUCCAUCUCAAAACAACAGCAGCACCAACAACAAAAACCAGGAAUCACAGAAUGUCUGGGGGAGGAUCUCUUAGGCUCCACAGCACCCCUCUCCUUGUCUUAUGGGUGUCGGGACAGAUGCCCAACCUGACACGCACACACAGGUGUACACACCUUCCAGGCACUCACAAGUUCAGUUGCUUUGGUAACAUCUGUUUGCUUUCCGUGGUUUGUUUCUGUCUCUCUGCUCCGUGUUUCCUGCCCUGGGGGGGCUACUCCCUUCCUCCCCUUCCUUAUCUGUUGCUCAGUCUUGGAGCUUGGCCUGGUCCCCAUGAGUUGCCAACUUGCCCCCUUUGGCCUCCUUAACAGGCCUGGAGAAGCUGAGCAAGGCAUGUGCAGAGGCAGAGCCGUUUCCGCUGCCGCCUGGCCUUGUCAGAGGGACCCCACCUCCAGAGCAUCAGGGCCCCAGCCUGGGAUGGGAGGGCUACUGGCUGCCAUCUGCCUUGGGAGCUGCCCCUGGCCAAGGCGGCCGGGGUUGGCAUCCACUGCGUUUCACUCUGCCCCUUUGCCCUGACUUCAGAGCUUGAAGGUGAACUCUGACCCCUUCACUCUAGGGUUAGGGACAGUGGGCACAGAGAGCAGGAGCAGACUUGCAUGAGGCCCCUGUCACUUUCCCACAUUGCACGCAGGCCAACCGGGUCCUGGGCAUGUGGGGCCUGGCCGCACUGCAGGUGGGCGCCCAGCAGUGUGAUGACUUCCUGGAGGAAAGCGUGGGGCGGGAGGUGCCUGGCUUGAAGUGCGGGGGGAGCUGGUGCUCUGUUUUAAGGGUCAAAGUGACAGGUGGAUUAUGAAGACCAGAAUCCCGCCCCCUCACCUCCUCUGGCUACUCUGGGCUCUGAGUUGGUGCUGAUCUCCGGCCACUGCCACAAGCCCCAAUGACCUCCAGCAUCUGCAGCAGGCUGCGGGCUUCCUCCUGAGGGGCAUGGGGUGCCGCCCUCUGGCAGCCCCCUGGGACAUUGCCAGAGGUUGGCCAGGCCUCUCAGGAAAAGGGAGAUGAGCUUCAGAGGCGCUGGGUUGAGGAAGCCGUGGUGGGAGGUAUCUAAGGUCACCACCUCUGACGGUGGUGGGACCCACAGCGGGUAUGGGGCAGCGGGAUCUGUGCUUUGCUGGCUUUCUGAGUCCAGGGGGCUGGCACAGGACCAGAAUUAGCCCCGGGUGCCAAGUUUACAGGGGGAAGUCAUCCAGAGCCCCAAACUCGCCCGCAGGAUGGGAGGUGGGGGUGUUCUGGGCAUGGGCAGGAGUGAAGGGCACAGGGUCUCAGGCUCAUUGUUCCUUGGACUCUGUUCCUUAGGUCCCUCUGUCGCCUUUGGCCAAUGCCACCCCAUCCACCCCUUCUGUCCACAAGCCAGCUUGGUCCCGACAAGGGGUCCUGGCUGGGCCCCCUGUUAGGCUGUUCCUGGCUUCAGAGAUCUGGGAACUGCACCGUAGCCGUAUUUACUGAGCACCCACUCCAGCGGGAUCUCCGUGCCUCGCGUGAUCUCCAAUUCUUGUUACUGUUCUUCCUGUUUUACAGAUGAGGAACCUUAGGCUCAGAGAGGCAAACUUACCUAUCCAAGGCUGCACAGCCCGCAAGUGAGAUGCAGCCUCCCUGUCCAGCCAGCCUGAGCCCUGCUUCUUCACCUGACCCUGCUCCCCAUCUGGUCUGGGCACGGAUUGGGUUAGAUCAUCCCAGCUCCCAGCAGGAGGGCACAGCUCUGGGAGCCAGGGUUUGGCCAGGUGCCCAGCAGGCAGGCAGGGCAGCCACAGCCAAGGGUUAACUGGCUGUAGGCUGGGAGCCGUACUCGGGGCUGGGCAGACAAGGUGCAAGGCCCUGGGAACCAGCUCCAGGCCGGGCUGACAGGGAGCUCCGCAGGCACCCCUGUCAGCCCUCGUGCCAGGACAAACAGGGCAAUUAGGAGGUGGCUUUUGUUUGGUGGGGCCUGAAUGCUGGGCAUGGAGCUGUGGGCGCUUCAGCCCCCACCCCGUCAUGUGGCGGGAAUCUGCUCAUUCAAGGGGACAGGGUCACAUGCGGAGUGUGACAGCAGACAACGGGACAAUGCCACUCUGUUUCCUCGCCCAGCUUCAGAAGCAAUGGCUGGAGGGCUGCUGCUUUUCACGGCACAGUGUGACUGGGGCCACCAGUCCCUCCCUCUCCUCCUGUCCAGGCAGUCAAAAGGGCUCCAGCCACCUCAAGAGCGAUCACAGGGGUGGCCCAGGCCAUGGGGCGCGGGCCCACCACCUUUGCGUUUCCCUCGCUCUGGGUUCUGUCUCGGGGGCCCCACUUGGGACCCACUGUGCAGGGCUGGAUUCCGUACCCGACGGUCUUGUCCCAUGUCACCUCUCUCUGAGGCAGGUGCUAUUCAUCCCAUUCCAGUGAGGGAGUCGGGGCUCAAGGGUGAGGUUGCUUCACCCAGAGGAGGGGCUUGGGUUAGGGCUGCUGGGUGAAAUUCAAGGUACCAAGUUAAAUCUGAAUUUCACAUAAACAACAAAUACAUGUAAACCUCUGACGCUGGCGGGGCCUACAGCGGGUAUCGGGCAGCGGGAUCUGUGCUUUGCUGGGUUCCUGAGUCCAGUGGGCUGGGACAGGACCAGAAUUAGGCCCAGGUGCCAAGUUUGCAGGGGGCUCAGCCAGAGCCCCGAACUACUACAGUCUUUAGUACAGACUAUCCUAAAAAAAAAAAAAAAAAAA